UCGUUGCGGACUUGUCGGAGCUCGUCACGUCGGCCGGGAGGUCGCAGCACAUCGAGAUCCGUUGCCCUGCUCACUUGCGCUCAUCGGAGGCGGCCAGAACGUGGAUCCGGACAGCGGAGCUCGCUAGGGCUCGCCUCUGCGCAGAUCCGGAGUAGGGAGGCGCUCGCCCAGCCCUCCUCACGUCGCAGUUGUGGGAGCUUCGAGGCCCGUCGCGCGCGAUUCUACCGCAGGCGCUCGCCGCUCGCUCGCCCGGGGACGAAAACGCAUGGGCUCCCUCCAUUCCCUCCACAAGCAUCAUAUGAAGCUCCCACGCUAUUGUGCUAGUCACCCCACAUCACCCUUCACUGAUUACGAACUCCAUGGCCUUGGGGGUUCGUGAUCAGUGGUGGUGUGGGGUGAGUAGCACACCACAAUUCAUGGCUACGUCGCGAGGGUAGCGUGUGGCUGGCCAGCUUGGUCCCCCAGCUAGCC
This 471-nucleotide long non-coding RNA is filed under the name Setaria italica (foxtail millet). RNAcentral's name for it is "long non-coding RNA (SITA_LNC006461)". The record is from RNAcentral. Lineage: Eukaryota; Viridiplantae; Streptophyta; Magnoliopsida; Poales; Poaceae.